AGAUCAACAACUAAUUAGAACUAUAUUUUUAUAAUUCUUACUCUCUGUCUUCUGUAUUUUAUUAAUUUAUUGCAGCCAUUGUGUCCAAAGGAAAACAACCGCCAGAAUCUAGAUAUAGUAUUAUAGUAGGCCUAUAGUGUGUUUUAAGCUGCCUAUCACCAGCUCUGUUUUUUUGCUCAGUGUUGAUUCACAGUCUUGAAAUCCCAUGUUUGGAUUAACUCAAGAAAUCUAUAUUAAUUAGUUUCAAGUUCAGAAACAGAGAGAACAAGAGUCAAAUCAAACCAAAUUAAAUAUAGGCAAGACAUAGUAGAAGAGGAAAAGAAAUCCUGAUUUCUGACUUUAUACAAACAACAGAACUCACUCAAAGUGUUGCAAAAGAAUAUUUCUAGCAGUUUGAUUAUGGCAUUCUUAUAUUUGAAAUAAAUUGUAACAAUAAACAUUUCUUUUUAAUGUAAGUUGUGCAAUGUAAAAUAAUCCAUUGUGUAUAUAAACAUGUAGACCUGCAAGAUAUAUUAUGAACAGGUAUUUAAAAUGUGAAUAAAUAUAUGUUUAUCUUG
Long non-coding RNA from Biomphalaria glabrata, 557 nucleotides. RefSeq lists it as uncharacterized. NCBI's taxonomy places the organism in Eukaryota, Metazoa, Mollusca, Gastropoda, Planorbidae. The record is from RefSeq and is a predicted model, not a curated record. The transcript has 2 exons.